AUUGAACGCUGGCGGCAUGCCUUACACAUGCAAGUCGAACGGCAGCGGACCUUCGGGUGCCGGCGAGUGGCGAACGGGUGAGUAAUGCAUCGGAACGUGCCAUUGAGUGGGGGAUAACGUAGCGAAAGUUACGCUAAUACCGCAUAUUCUGUGAGCAGGAAAGCAGGGGACCGCAAGGCCUUGCGCUCUUUGAGCGGCCGAUGUCAGAUUAGCUAGUUGGUGAGGUAAAGGCUUACCAAGGCGACGAUCUGUAGCGGGUCUGAGAGGAUGAUCCGCCACACUGGAACUGAGACACGGUCCAGACUCCUACGGGAGGCAGCAGUGAGGAAUAUUGCGCAAUGGAGGCAACUCUGACGCAGCCAUGCCGCGUGCAGGAAGAAGGCGCUACGCGUUGUAAACUGCUUUUAACCGGGAGAAACCCCAGGACGUGUCCUGGGUUGACGGUACCGGAGGAAUAAGCACCGGCUAACUUCGUGCCAGCA
Molecule: ribosomal RNA, 482 nt
Filed under: uncultured bacterium
Lineage: Bacteria
Description: bacterial SSU rRNA
Rfam family: Bacterial small subunit ribosomal RNA
Source: RNAcentral